This is a non-coding RNA of Potamilus streckersoni, 73 nucleotides long. The record is from the annotation of a GenBank genome assembly. NCBI's taxonomy places the organism in Eukaryota, Metazoa, Mollusca, Bivalvia, Unionida, Unionidae.
GCUCCGGUGGCCUAGUGGUUAGAGCGUUUGCCUCAGAUUCUGGAGGUCGUGGGUUCGAUCCCCGUUCGAGUCA